CCUACGGGUGGCAGCAGUGGGGAAUAUUGCUCAAUGGGGGAAACCCUGAAGCAGCAACGCCGCGUGGAGGAAGAAGGUCUUCGGAGUGUAAACCCCUUUUGGUAGAGAAGAAAAUGACGGUAUCUAACGAAUAAGCACCGGCUAACUACGUGCCAGCAGCCGCGGUAAUACGGAGGGGGCAAGCGUUACUCGGAAUAACUGGGCGUAAAGGGCGCGUAGGCGGGGUAGCAAGGCAGAUGUGAAAUCCUAGGGCUUAACCAUGGAACUGCAUUUGAAACUGAUAGGCUAGAGUAUGGGAGAGGUAGGUGGAAUUCGUGGUGUAGGGGUGAAAUGCGUAGAGAUCAGGAGGAAUACUGAUUGCGAAGGCGACCUGCUGGAACAUAACUGACGCUGAGGCGCGAAAGCGUGGGGAGCAAACAGGAUUAGAUACCCCGGUAGUC
RNAcentral lists this ribosomal RNA (440 nucleotides) under uncultured bacterium. RNAcentral describes it as "partial 16S ribosomal RNA". It matches the Rfam family "Bacterial small subunit ribosomal RNA", at positions 338 to 795 of the family's 1533-position model. The record is from RNAcentral.